RNAcentral lists this ribosomal RNA (656 nucleotides) under Heterodera filipjevi. RNAcentral describes it as "partial 28S ribosomal RNA". It matches the Rfam family "Eukaryotic large subunit ribosomal RNA", at positions 408 to 904 of the family's 3401-position model. The record is from RNAcentral. Lineage: Eukaryota; Metazoa; Nematoda; Chromadorea; Rhabditida; Heteroderidae.
AUGAGGUGGAAACGGACAGAGCUGGCGUAUCUGGUCUGCAUUCACCCGUCUGUUGUUGGGCGUUGGGCUUCCUGCCUCCAGACUGGGGUUGGUUGUCUUUCUGUUCAGCGGCUGAUGGGGCAUUUGCAGGCGGAGUGCGCUGAGAUGCUCGGGGUAGCUGCGUGAACUUGGCUUUGAGGCCAGCCCUUCGGGGUCUGGUACCCGGGCCAGGGGAAUGCUGUUUACUCUGGGUGAGAGUGUGCAAUGGUUUCGGGUCCGUGUUGGCUCGAGCUGAGUGUCGGUGGCGGUCGCAUGCGACACGUACCAGCAAUCAGUUCGGUCCAGCUCGGGCUCUCAUUUGUGCGUUCUCGGUGUAAAAGCCGGUUAUCUGUCCGACCCGUCUUGAAACACGGACCAAGGAGUUUAGCGUAUGCGCGAGUCAUUGGGUGUUGAAAACCCAAAGGCGUAAUGAAAGUGAAGGCAUCCUUGCGGAGCUGAUGUGUGAUCCCUGGCACUGCGGUGUUGGGGCGCAACAUAGUCCCGUCUCGAUCGCAUGCGAUGGGGCGGAGACAGAGCGUAUGCGCUGAGACCCGAAAGAUGGUGAACUAUUCCUGAGCAGGAUGAAGCCAGAGGAAACUCUUUGAAGUCCGAAGCGAUUCUGACGUGCAAAUCGAUCG